This 75-nucleotide transfer RNA is filed under the name Puniceicoccales bacterium. RNAcentral's name for it is "tRNA-Arg". It matches the Rfam family "tRNA". From Rfam's summary of the family: Transfer RNA (tRNA) molecules are approximately 80 nucleotides in length. Their secondary structure includes four short double-helical elements and three loops (D, anti-codon, and T loops). Further hydrogen bonds mediate the characteristic L-shaped molecular structure. tRNAs have two regions of fundamental functional importance: the anti-codon, which is responsible for specific mRNA codon recognition, and the 3' end, to which the tRNAs corresponding amino acid is attached (by aminoacyl-tRNA synthetases). tRNAs cope with the degeneracy of the genetic code in two manners: having more than one tRNA (with a specific anti-codon) for a particular amino acid; and 'wobble' base-pairing, i.e. permitting non-standard base-pairing at the 3rd anti-codon position. The record is from RNAcentral. Lineage: Bacteria; Pseudomonadati; Verrucomicrobiota; Opitutia; Puniceicoccales.
GUUCCCGUAGUUCAAUGGAUAGAACAUCGGUCUCCGGAACCGAAAAUCUGGGUUCGAAUCCCGGCGGGAACGCCA